AUGCGAGAUGUUUACAUUGAGCAUUCUUAGCGGCGGACGGGUGAGUAACACGUGGGUAACCUGCCUCAGAGUGGGGGAUAGCCUUUCGAAAGGAAGAUUAAUACCGCAUAAGCUUGUAGCAUCGCAUGGUGCAGCAAGAAAAGGAGCAAUCCGCUCUGAGAUGGACCCGCGGCGCAUUAGCUAGUUGGUGAGGUAACGGCUCACCAAGGCCACGAUGCGUAGCCGACCUGAGAGGGUGAUCGGCCACAUUGGAACUGAGACACGGUCCAGACUCCUACGGGAGGCAGCAGUGGGGAAUAUUGCACAAUGGGCGAAAGCCUGAUGCAGCAACGCCGCGUGAGUGAUGAAGGCUUUCGAGUCGUAAAGCUCUUUGAUCAGGGAUGAUAAUGACAGUACCUGAAAAACAAGCCACGGCUAACUACGUGCCAGCAGCCGCGGUAAUACGUAGGUGGCGAGCGUUGUCCGGAAUUACUGGGCGUAAAGGAUGCGUAGGUGGAUAUUUAAGUGGGAUGUGAAAUCCCCGGGCUCAACCCGGGAACUGCAUUCCAAACUGGAUAUCUAGAGUGCAGGAGAGGAAAGCGGAAUUCCUAGUGUAGCGGUGAAAUGCGUAGAUAUUAGGAGGAACACCAGUGGCGAAGGCGGCUUUCUGGACUGUAACUGACACUGAGGCAUGAAAGCGUGGGUAGCAAACAGGAUUAGAUACCCUGGUAGUCCACGCCGUAAACGAUGGGUACUAGGUGUAGGAGGUAUCGACCCCUUCUGUGCCGUCGUUAACACAAUAAGUACCCCGCCUGGGGAGUACGGUCGCAAGACUAAAACUCAAAGGAAUUGACGGGGGCCCGCACAAGCAGCGGAGCAUGUGGUUAAUUCGAAGCAACGCGAAGACCUUACCUAGACUUGACUCUCCUGAUUACUC
Molecule: ribosomal RNA, 916 nt
Filed under: Proteiniclasticum sp.
Lineage: Bacteria; Bacillati; Bacillota; Clostridia; Eubacteriales; Clostridiaceae
Description: bacterial SSU rRNA
Rfam family: Bacterial small subunit ribosomal RNA
Source: RNAcentral